Molecule: transfer RNA, 103 nt
Filed under: Cellulomonas biazotea
Lineage: Bacteria; Bacillati; Actinomycetota; Actinomycetes; Micrococcales; Cellulomonadaceae
Description: tRNA-Leu
Source: RNAcentral
GAGCGUCUUGUCGGGCGCGGUCGGGCCGAGGCCGUCGUCGAGGUCGGCGAGGACCGCGAGCGCCUGCGCGUGCGUCGCCGCCUCGGGUGGCGGCAGGUGCCCG